This is a long non-coding RNA of Ipomoea nil (Japanese morning glory), 661 nucleotides long. RefSeq lists it as uncharacterized. The record is from RefSeq and is a predicted model, not a curated record. Lineage: Eukaryota; Viridiplantae; Streptophyta; Magnoliopsida; Solanales; Convolvulaceae. The transcript is spliced from 2 exons.
AGUUCCGCCUCCCUCUUAUUCUCUCAGAUUUCAGCCUCUCACCACUUCACCAUUCACAAAUUCACCAUUUCACCAUUUCACCAUCCUUGUCUCUCUCAUCCUUUCUGUCUCCGGUCUCCAUUGCUUCUCACAAUUUCACCACUCACCCCUCUCACUCUCUCAACCUCUCCGUUUCCGGCCUCCGUUGGCCGCCCUCUCACAGUAUCCCCAUUCACCGGUCACCUCUGAGUAUCUGACCUCUUAGGUUCUCACAAUCUCUCGUCUUUGAGUCACAUGUGCCCUCUCAAGCCUCAAGCCUCAAGAAAUCUUAGUUAGUCAGAUAUGCCGCAUGCGUGGCAUACAACAAGAUCUGGGAAGUUCUAUGAAAAUCCGGUAGGGGUUGCAUUGUGAUUGAUGGUUCUUUUGAAUUUCUAUUUGCAGUGAUGAUAGAAUAGAAAUUUGCAAAUUAGUGGUGCAUUGGUGGGAUCAAAUGCUGCAGUAGACAAUUAAAAGCCUAGAAAAACUAAACCUGCAUUUGAUUUUGUUGCUCCCAAAGCUAAUUAAUGUGUGACUUAAAGUCUUAUACAGCUCCCAAAGCUAAUUAAUCUGUGACUUAAAGUGUUAUACAGCUAGACGCACAGUCCAUAGUGGCUAUAUAUUGGGAACAACGAUAUUGGCUAUA